RNAcentral lists this long non-coding RNA (3094 nucleotides) under Phocoena sinus (vaquita). RNAcentral describes it as "lncRNA (ENSPSNG00000013543.1)". Lineage: Eukaryota; Metazoa; Chordata; Mammalia; Artiodactyla; Phocoenidae. The record is from RNAcentral.
GAGUUUGCAGUUUCUCAAACACUACAAAGAGCAAAUUUCACACCAUCACCAGUGUCUUUAUUUCUACGGUGAUAAGACUUUUUAUUAGGGAUCUCAUUUCCUUUCUUUCUCUACACAAAAUUCUCAUUAUGGCCACAGAGCAAUUGAUAGGGCAGCUGUUUGAAAACAGGUCUAAUUUUCACAUUAGGGUUUUAAAUAAAUUAGAAACUAUUUGAGGCUAUGAAAAUGUCCUUGAGUUUGGCACCUGAACUCUGGUGGAAUGCUGAUACAUUCUGAUAACGGGAAUUACACUUAGAAGAGGGAAAGCCGUUUCGUCAUCUGUCCUUUUUCCACUCAACAGAAAUCUGAAAGAUACGUCUUUAAGUGGAAUACUUAAAGGUUUAUCUAAAUUCUAAAAAUUUAAAAGGCAAUUGUGGGCUAUUUUUAUCUUCUAAUAUAUUGAAAUAAAGUUUCAUGUCUAGGGCUGGGAGCCAGGAUUGACCUUUUCUUUGUUUCUUUCUCUUUGUUUCCACCCGUGCUUUUGUAACUUGUCAGGUAAACUUGACCAAACCAUGUUCAUUCUGUGCCUUGGUUUACCUUUUUUGUAAAAUGGGUUUAACAAUACUUACCUACCUCACAGGGGUGUUGUGAGGCUCUAAUCAUUUGCUUUUUCAUUCUUUCCUGUAUUCUCUGUAUGUCCAGCGCUUUGUAGCCAUGGGAGGAAAGGGAAUAUAAAAGUAUACCAUGUUAAUAGAAGGCUGCUGUACCCAGAAGCCUUGUUUUCUAGCAAGGAAAUGCUACCUUGCUGUAAAUACUUAUAACCUUGUAUUUGGAAAUGAGAAAUAGGUUUAUAUUUGCAGACCUCUCAAAAAAUCACAUCAUUUGACCAAAGAAUAAUUUAAGACGCACAGAACAGACAUAUCUUUGACUUAUGUUUUCAUCCUGACCAACUUGGAUUUCUAAUAAUUUUUAUCAGUAAUUUGAAAAGGUUUAGAUUGAUUUUGGCCAAAUAUGCCAACUCUGAGUGACAGGCAAGGAUUUGGGAUUUAAGAUGCACUUUCAGUACAGAUUUUUUAUUUUCCCUGGCAUAUCAGAUUAAGCUAAUGGUGGUAUUUUUUCAGUCAAACAGCCACCAAUCUGAAAAUGUAUUUCCUAUGUUGAUUUUGAACUUCUUUUAUUAAGAAGGAAGCCCAUCUUAUGCAUUUUGCUUUCAUCAGCUGAUUCUCUCUUAACAUACUAUUAAAACAUUUCUUACUGAAUGGUUUAUGUAGGCUGGCUGAACAACACACAUUACUUGCUUCCUAAAGUAUUCUUCAACUAAUUCUUUUGUCCCACUAGUUGCUGCAGAUUAUCGAGUUUCAAAGGAACAGUGUAUCCUAACAGAUUAAAACAUUCUUUGUGAAAUGAGUGCAGUCCAAGAAAUUGGUGAACUUUUGGGGUUUGGAGAGAACAGCUGAAAGAGGAUUUGGGUUAUAUAGUGCAGGGAAGAGACAUCAUAGGUGAAAAGAUUUUGCUAAAAUGGGGGAAAUCUUAGAAGAGGGAGUAAAUAGAGGAUCAUGUAAAACAAGGUCAUUUGAAACUUGCAUCCUGACAUUCAUUUCCAGUGGUGAAGAGAAAAGCCUGAACCCAUAACCCCAGUGCUGGAUGAAAUUAGGCAAUUUUACCCAACACCUGGGCAAGUGCUGUCCAGGAAUAUCAUAGAGUAACCAAUGCUGUCCGCCACAGGAGCUUUUAUUGUUAGUGAAUCAAUACCACAGACACCUAUUAUGUAAUGUACACAGGGUACACGCAUUCAAUUUUGUUCAUUCGUUAUUGAUUAAAAAAAUAGAAGUUUGAUAUGUGAUUUGGAGGAGUAGCCUUCUGGCUCCUAAACCAGGUGUCAACAGAGGGCCUCAGGGACACAAAAUUCAAAGGCAUAUCCCUGUUCCUUAUCAUCUAUACACAGAAAACAGAUGAAUACAUACAAACUAUCUGUCUGUGUCCCCAGUCCCCCCCACCACCAAAACAAGGCGCUGAUUUGUAGGGUACUUGGCAGUUUAGAUCAAGCAGGAAGAAGUGACCGGAUAAAAAAGGGAAUGACAUUUAGGGUAUAAAGAUCUCAUAAGAAAUGUAAUAUGUAAAUUAUAUCUUGCUUUAUGAUGUAAAAUAUACAUUGUUUGCGCUAGAAUAGAAAUGAUUCCUUUUCAAUAAAAAGAAAGAAGGAUACUACUAUGUCUGCUGAGUCUGCUGGUUCUUUUUGACCUUCAGAAACACCUGCUAAGAUCUAAGAUUGCACUCAGAAAAGAGUGAAGGUAAGAGGGAUUUAUGAACAAGAGAACUUUUAUCAGAGUGUAAUAAUAUUUUCUAAAAAAGGGAAAUAAUCUAUUGUUCUCACAAACAAAGACAAAUGGUGGGAGAAAGAGGGGACUUUUUUUUAGUAUAAUGGAUAAGUGUAAAGUGGAUCUUUUAGGAGAGUUUUGCUAUUUUUCAUCCACAUCUUUAGUAUCCACAAUAACAGAUAUCAUUAGACAAAACAGAUUUUUUAUAAAGCACAGCCUUUUCUUUUAGAAAAAAGAAGUAACAAAGUAACAUUUUUUAAGCACCUAUUGUUAUAGCAUUGUGUGUGGUAACUGGUGGAGGCGUGAUAGAAAAACUAAAUAGGAAUCGAGUUUUUUCAUACAAACUGAAAUCUGAUUUAAAAGGCAACUACAGCAUGAACAAAUUUAUGCAGUAGUUCAAGACAAUAAAUUAAUGUUGUCAAAGAAAUAGAGCAGAUGGGAGUUCAGAAGAGGAAGCAAGAAAACACUGUGAACUGGAAUGGGAGAGGGUUUCGCGGAGGAACUGGGACUUGAGUUUCAUCAGCAAGGAUUUGGUCAGGAGAAGGGAAAGUGAUGGCUUUCAGGUAGGGGGAAUGGUAUGCAUAAGAAAGGAUGAAGGUAGGGAUACGGGAAUGAGGAAUUUGUUUCAGGAGCACGGCAAGAUGGGCCUUGUGACCGCCUGGAGGGGUGGGAUAUGGAGGGUGGGAGGGAGACGCAAGAGGUAAGAGAUAUGGGAACAUAUGUAUAACUGAUUCACUUUGUUAUAAAGCAGAAACUAACACACCAUUGUAAAGCAAUUAUACCCCAAUAAAGAUGUU